AUGCUCUCCCUGGUGCGCCGCCGGCUCCUCGCCGCCCGCUUCUCCACGCUGCCGGAGGCCGCGCCGCCCGCCCCUCUCGACGCGGCCGCGGUGCAGGAGACGCUCACGCUCUACACCAACGACUGGCGCCGCGCGCUCGACUUCUUCCACUGGUCCGCCUCCCCGGGCGGCGGCAACCUGCCGCCGACCCCGUCGACCCUCUCCCGCGCCGUCGACAUCCUCGGCAAGCACUUCGAGUUCCCGCAGGCCACCGCCCUGCUCCUCGCCCACCACGACCCCUCGGACCCCGCCUUCCUCCGCCCCGCCCUCCGCGCGCUCCUCAACCGCCUCGCCGCCGCCAACCUCGUCGACGACGCCGUGCGGGCCUUCGAGUCCACCGCCGCCUCCGUCGGCCUGCGGGACGAGGCCUCCUUCCACCUCCUCGUCGACGCGCUCUGCGACCACCGCCGCGUCGACGAGGCCCACCACCUCUGCCUCGGCCGGGCGGCCCCGCCGCCCUUCCCGCCGGGGACCAAGACCCACAACCUGCUCCUCCGCGGCUGGGCCAAGGCGCGCGCCUGGGCGCGCCUCCGCCAGCACUGGCUUGACAUGGACGCCCGCGGCGUCGCCAAGGACCUCCACUCCUACUCCAUCUACAUGGACGCCCUCGCCAAGUCAGGGAAGCCCUGGAAGGCCGUCAAGCUGUUCAAGGAGAUGAAGCAGAAGCGUCUCCCGGUGGACAUCGUCGCGUACAACACUGCGAUCCACGCCGUCGGGCUCGCAGAGGGCGUCGAUUUCGCCGUUCGGAUGUACAGGCAGAUGAUUGAUGGUGGUUGCAGGCCGAACACCGCCACUUUCAACACGAUCGUCAAGCUGUUGUGCAAGGAAGGGAGGUUCAAGGAAGGCUAUGCGUUUGUGCAGCAGAUGCACAAGGCCGGGUGCGAGCCCAAUGAGCUCACCUACCAUUGCUUCUUCCAGUACCUGAGCCGCCCGCAGGAGGUCCUUGCGCUGUUUGAGAAAAUGCUCCAGAGGGGCUGCCGGCCGAGGAUGGACACAUAUGUCAUGCUCAUAAAGAGGUUUGGGCGCUGGGGUUUCCUUCGCCCUGUGUUCUUUGUGUGGAAGACAAUGGAAGAGCAAGGGCUCACCCCGGAUGCAUUUGCAUACAACACACUCAUUGAUGCAUUGCUGGAAAAGGGUAUGGUGGAUUUGGCUAGGAAAUACGACGAGGAGAUGCUCGCGAAGGGCCUCUCGCCCAAGCCAAGGAAAGAGCUAGGUACUCAAUUGCCAGGAGCAGAUUCUGACUGUGAUAAUGCAUUAAGUGGUGUGAUCUGA
This 1311-nucleotide ribosomal RNA is filed under the name Triticum aestivum (bread wheat). RNAcentral's name for it is "partial small subunit ribosomal RNA". Lineage: Eukaryota; Viridiplantae; Streptophyta; Magnoliopsida; Poales; Poaceae. The record is from RNAcentral.